ACAAAUCAACCUAAUUGAGGUUGUGGUGACUGUCCUAGGCUAGCCCACUGUAUGGACCAUUCUCCAUACCAGAAACAUCCUCCUUACUGGGAAUCAUUUUCUUUCUCAGAAGAAUAAUAAAGGGAAUGCGCAGAUCUAAUAGAUUUAAUUAGCAGAAUGGAUGAUUGCUAGUGAAUUUGGCCCUAAAAUUCCCCGUUUGGGGGAAAUACAAUAGUUAAAAUGAAUACUUAUAUGUGGGAAGAGAAUGGAUAUAGAGGUGUUUUGCUAACCAUAAAACCUAACUGAAACCAAAGGAUGGAAAACAGGUACUCAAUUAGCUUCGACACAAAAACAUUCACAGCAGCACAAUUCACAGUAGCUGAAAGGUGAAAGCAAUUAAAAUUUUCAUCAACAGAUGAAUGGAUUAACAAAAUAUAGUUGAUACACAGGGUAAACUACUAUUCAGCCAUAAAAAAGUAAAAAAGUACUGAAACAUGCUACAGUAUGGAAGAACCUCCAAAACAUUAUGCUGCUGGGUGUGGCGGUGCAUUGUGUCAUUGCAGUGACUUGGGAGACUGAGGCAGGAGGAUUGCAGUUCAAAGCUAGACUGGACAACUUAGUGAGACCCUGUCUUAAAAUAAAAAUAAAAAGGUUUGGAUGUAGUGCAGUGGUACAAUGUCCCUGAUUCAAUCCCUAGUACUGAAAAAAAAAAUAUGCUAAAUUAUAUAAGCUGAACACACACACAAAAAACCCCACAUAUUGCAUGAUUCCCUUUAUAUGGACUAUUCAGAAUAGGUAAUUCACAGAGACAGAAAGGUUGGUGGUUGCCAGGGGUAUGAAGGCAGGAAUGGGAAGUAACUGCCUAAUGAGAGAGGCAGUGUAUGUGCCACACUGUGAAUGUGCUAAUUAUACUGAAUUGGUCACUUUAAAAUGGUUAAUUUUAUGUUUCGUAAAUUUUGCCUUAAUUUAAAAAUAUCUCAUUUGUACAAGAGGGCUGAGGUGGAGGUCCAGGGAGAGGCCAGUGGCUAGAUUUCCAAGUCUUUGAGGUGAGGAGGGGUUUUGGUAUCCUUGUGGGUGACUGUCACAGAUUCAUCUGAUGGAAGUGUGGGCAAUUUACAGAGCAUCUGCAGUAUGGUACCUCUGUCCUGAUUCUCACGGCUCUUGGAGUGGACUGGCAGGGAAAGUGAGCUCCAUAAGCCCACAGCAUGGCAACCUCAUGGGGAGGUCUGCAGGGAACAAAGUCAUCCAGCACCUCUGAAGUUACCCCCUCAGCCCUCCUACAGGCCCCAUUAUGAGCCACGGGAGAUGACAUCAUAUCAGGACCACAGAGCCAAGACCCAGGCCACCAUGCAGCAGUGGGAGUUUCCAUCCAGGAGGAUUUGGUGUCCCUAGGUGUGCUCCAGUGAGCCAUCUAGCAAAGAAAUACUUUUUGAUCUGAGGAGAUAUGCACCACAGCCAUCCCCCAGUUGGAAUGCCAGGACUCUGCAGAAGAGGGUGGACUAACUCGAAAACAUGGCGGAAUGGGAUGGUCUUGUUUCCUUGGUGACUGAGAGUUCAUGACAAACACUCUCUUGCUUCAGCACACUGUGAGUCUGUCUCCUGGAUGCCAAACUCUUAUGUCUGGAACAGAGUAAGUCCUCAAGAGCCCUCUAUUUAAAGGUGCUGCAGGCGGUCUUUUAGAACUGACAAUCUAAGGAAGCCAGUCAUGCUGUUCACACCUGCCACGGGCAUCCAUGCACCCUCAAAGACUGAGCUCCUCUCCCAUCAGCCACUCCUUUGGAAACGUUCACACAGAGGAGAAUGGCACGAUGGGGAGUUAAUCUGUCUUCCAGUUCAGAAUCUUAAGAAUGGCUUGGUGAUCCUUGAGUCAGUACAUAGCUCUGUCCAGUCCAGGACAAGGAGAAGUCUUAGUGAAAACACAAGAAUCCUGCUCGUAAGGAAAUCUCUAGGGAAUGCCGGGGACUGACAACAGAGGAUUUCUGACAGAAGAAAGAGACAAGGAUUUGGAACAAGCUUCUGAAUGGCAUCAUUGUCCAGUCCCACCGCCCUCCUCCCCUACGCCCC
This is a long non-coding RNA of Ictidomys tridecemlineatus (thirteen-lined ground squirrel), 2043 nucleotides long. RefSeq lists it as uncharacterized. NCBI's taxonomy places the organism in Eukaryota, Metazoa, Chordata, Mammalia, Rodentia, Sciuridae. The record is from RefSeq and is a predicted model, not a curated record.